Molecule: ribosomal RNA, 461 nt
Filed under: uncultured organism
Description: bacterial SSU rRNA
Rfam family: Bacterial small subunit ribosomal RNA
Source: RNAcentral
GACGAACGCUGGCGGCGUGCCUAACACAUGCAAGUCGAGCGGAGAUUGCAGCAAUGUAAUUUUAGCGGCGGACGGGUGAGUAACGCGUGGGCAACCUGCCUUUCACAGGGGGAUAACACAGGGAAACUUGUGCUAAUACCGCAUAAAGUCACGGUAAGACAUCUUACUAUGACCAAAGGAGAAAUCCGGUGAGAGAUGGGCCCGCGUCCGAUUAGCUAGUUGGUGAUGUAACGGACCACCAAGGCGACGAUCGGUAGCCGAACUGAGAGGUUGAUCGGCCACAUUGGGACUGAGACACGGCCCAGACUCCUACGGGAGGCAGCAGUGGGGAAUAUUGCGCAAUGGGGGAAACCCUGACGCAGCAACGCCGCGUGAAGGAUGAAGGUUUUCGGAUCGUAAACUUCUUUGAUUGGGGACGAACAAAGACGGUACCCAAAAAACAAGCCACGGCUAACUACGUG